This 85-nucleotide non-coding RNA is filed under the name Rubripirellula tenax. Lineage: Bacteria; Pseudomonadati; Planctomycetota; Planctomycetia; Pirellulales; Pirellulaceae. The record is from RNAcentral.
CGAUCGGGGUGACCCGAAUCGUGUCUUCAGAAGUCAGCAGAGGUCGUAGUACCGAGCCUUGCAGUCCAAGCAAGACGGGAAGGAC